Molecule: long non-coding RNA, 296 nt
Organism: Engraulis encrasicolus (European anchovy)
Lineage: Eukaryota; Metazoa; Chordata; Actinopteri; Clupeiformes; Engraulidae
Exons: 3
Source: RefSeq, a predicted model, not a curated record
UGCCAGACCGUUAGCUUCUGAUUAGACCGUGGGAGCACACAUCCCGGUCCCAACUGCCUCAGACAGGGAUUCUUAUACCCUCAGGGCCUUUCCAGUCUAAGAUUGUCCCGUUGAGUCUCUUCUCCCUGGGAGUCCUGCUGUCUUGGGAGUCUGGACACAUAGACAUUAUACAUGCUCCCAGCAGACCUGGCAAGCCCUCAGCAUGAGGAAUCUGCUGGUGGACAUUUGUAAGGACGUGUAUUGAUAUUGACAUUGGAGGGUCUCAGGAGUAUUAAACAGACAAUAUACAAUUUUGA